AUUGAACGCUGGCGGCAUGCCUUACACAUGCAAGUCGAACGGCAGCACGGGAGCAAUCCUGGUGGCGAGUGGCGAACGGGUGAGUAAUAUAUCGGAACGUGCCCGGUCGUGGGGGAUAACGUAGCGAAAGCUACGCUAAUACCGCAUACGAUCUAUGGAUGAAAGCGGGGGAUCGCAAGACCUCGCGCGAUUGGAGCGGCCGAUAUCAGAUUAGGUAGUUGGUGAGGUAAAGGCUCACCAAGCCGACGAUCUGUAGCUGGUCUGAGAGGACGACCAGCCACACUGGGACUGAGACACGGCCCAGACUCCUACGGAGGCAGCAGUGGGGAAUUUGGGACAAUGGGGCGCAAGGCCUGAUCCAGCAAUGCCGCGUGCAGGAUGAA
This 383-nucleotide ribosomal RNA is filed under the name uncultured bacterium. Its description in RNAcentral is "bacterial SSU rRNA". It matches the Rfam family "Bacterial small subunit ribosomal RNA", at positions 29 to 412 of the family's 1533-position model. The record is from RNAcentral.